UUGAGAGUUUGAUCCUGCUCAGAUUGAACGCUGGCGGUAUGCUUAACACAUGCAAGUCGAACGGUAGCAGGCCUUCGGGCGCUGACGAGUGGCGGACGGGUGCGUAAUGCAUAGGAAUCUGCCUAUUAGUGGGGGAUAACGUGGGGAAACUCACGCUAAUACCGCAUACGAUCUACGGAUGAAAGCUGGGGACCUUCGGGCCUGGCGCUAAUAGAUGAGCCUAUGUUGGAUUAGCUAGUUGGUAGGGUAAAGGCCUACCAAGGCGACGAUCCAUAGCUGGUCUGAGAGGAUGAUCAGCCACACUGGGACUGAGACACGGCCCAGACUCCUACGGGAGGCAGCAGUGGGGAAUAUUGGACAAUGGGCGAAAGCCUGAUCCAGCAAUACCGCGUGUGUGAAGAAGGCCUGAGGGUUGUAAAGCACUUUCAAUGGGAAGGAAUACCUGCCGGUUAAUACCCGGUAGACUGACAUUACCCAUACAAGAAGCACCGGCUAACUCCGUGCCAGCAGCCGCGGUAAUACGGAGGGUGCAAGCGUUAAUCGGAAUUACUGGGCGUAAAGCGUGCGUAGGCGGUUAUUUAAGUCAGAUGUGAAAGCCCUGGGCUUAACCUGGGAACUGCAUUUGAUACUGGAUGACUAGAGUUGAGUAGAGGAGAGUGGAAUUUCAGGUGUAGCGGUGAAAUGCGUAGAGAUCUGAAGGAACACCAGUGGCGAAGGCGGCUCUCUGGACUCAAACUGACGCUGAGGUACGAAAGCGUGGGUAGCAAACAGGAUUAGAUACCCUGGUAGUCCACGCCGUAAACGAUGUCAACUAACCGUUGGGUUCUUAAAGAACUUAGUGGUGGAGCUAACGUAUUAAGUUGACCGCCUGGGGAGUACGGCCGCAAGGCUAAAACUCAAAUGAAUUGACGGGGGCCCGCACAAGCGGUGGAGCAUGUGGUUUAAUUCGAUGCAACGCGAAGAACCUUACCUACCCUUGACAUCCGGAGAAUCUGUGAGAGAUCGUAGAGUGCCUUCGGGAACUCUGAAAACGGGUGCUGCAAGGGCUGUCGUCCACCUCGGGUCCGGGAAAAGUUGGGG
RNAcentral lists this ribosomal RNA (1080 nucleotides) under uncultured bacterium. RNAcentral describes it as "bacterial SSU rRNA". It matches the Rfam family "Bacterial small subunit ribosomal RNA", at positions 1 to 1080 of the family's 1533-position model. The record is from RNAcentral.